ACUGCAAAAGAGAGGCCUGAAAGGAUUUAUAUAAUUUGGGUUAGGAGACUGUAUCAAAAGCAUGUUAGCAAACGUGCACAUGGCUUGUACAGGGGGGUAAAAAGAAGGCAGGCCUAUUUAGGGCUGAGAAUUCUGCUUGGAUAGGUAAAGUGGGACCAGAUCCUGGAAAAAUUAUAUUUUGGGGGUCAGUCAUUAUUAAGUGGAAGGAGAUAAUAAAGAUUCUGUGAUAAGAGAUCAGCAUAACAAAUAAGUCAAUAUUUUAGAAAGCUUUAAGUCUUGGGUGCAAGCUAAGUUUUAGAUCCCCCAAAUUUCUCUAACUUAGCUAAAAACAAAUAUGGCCCACAACUAGGAUGAUAGCAAUGGAGUCAAAUAUUUGGGAAUAAAUCAGAGAUUUGAAGAUAAGAGUCCAUCAUUCAGGAUUUGUUAUGAUGAACUGAGUAUAGGAGAUGAUGUUCAGGGAAGUAU
This 465-nucleotide long non-coding RNA is filed under the name Bos taurus (domestic cattle). RNAcentral's name for it is "long non-coding RNA NONBTAT024512". The record is from RNAcentral. Lineage: Eukaryota; Metazoa; Chordata; Mammalia; Artiodactyla; Bovidae.